This 468-nucleotide ribosomal RNA is filed under the name uncultured bacterium. RNAcentral describes it as "partial 16S ribosomal RNA". It matches the Rfam family "Bacterial small subunit ribosomal RNA", at positions 28 to 507 of the family's 1533-position model. The record is from RNAcentral.
GACGAACGCUGGCGGCGUGCUUAACACAUGCAAGUCGAACGGAAAGGCCCUGCUUUUGUGGGGUGCUCGAGCGGCGAACGGGUGAGUAACAAGUGAGUAACCUGCCCUUGACUUUGGGAUAACUUCAGGAAACUGGGGCUAAUACCGGAUAGGAGCUCCUGCUGCAUGGUGGGGGUUGGAAAGUUUCGGCGGUUGGGGAUGGACUCGCGGCUUAUCAGCUUGUUGGUGGGGUAGUGGCUUACCAAGGCUUUGACGGGUAGCCGGCCUGAGAGGGUGACCGGCCACAUUGGGACUGAGAUACGGCCCAGACUCCUACGGGAGGCAGCAGUGGGGAAUAUUGCACAAUGGGCGGAAGCCUGAUGCAGCAACGCCGCGUGCGGGAUGACGGCCUUCGGGUUGUAAACCGCUUUCGCCUGUGACGAAGCGUGAGUGACGGUAAUGUGUAAAGAAGCUCCGGCUAACUACGUG